GACGAACGCUGGCGGCGUGCCUAAUACAUGCAAGUAGGACGCACAGUCUAUACCGUAGCUUGCUACACCAUAGGCUGUGAGUUGCGAACGGGUGAGUAACGCGUAGGUAACCUGCCUAUUAGAGGGGGAUAACUAUUGGAAACGAUAGCUAAUACCGCAUAACAGUAUGUAACACAUGUUAGAUGCUUGAAAGAUGCAAUUGCAUCGCUAGUAGAUGGACCUGCGUUGUAUUAGCUAGUAGGUAGGGUAAUGGCCUACCUAGGCGACGAUACAUAGCCGACCUGGGAGGGUGAUCGGCCACACUGGGACUGGGAAACGGCCCAGACUCCUACGGGAGGCAGCAGUAGGGAAUCUUCGGCAAUGGGGGGAACCCUGACCGAGCAACGCCGCGUGAGUGAAGAAGGUUUUCGGAUCGUAAAGCUCUGUUGUUAAGGAAGAACGAGUGUGAGAAUGGAAAGUUCAUACUGUGACGGUACUUAACCAGAAAGGGACGGCUAACUACGUG
RNAcentral lists this ribosomal RNA (505 nucleotides) under uncultured bacterium. Its description in RNAcentral is "partial 16S ribosomal RNA". It matches the Rfam family "Bacterial small subunit ribosomal RNA", at positions 28 to 507 of the family's 1533-position model. The record is from RNAcentral.